UCGAACUCUCUGAGUAAGAGUUAUCAAUCUUCCGCUUCUGAAUAAAUCACUUCUUUGAAACCAAAGUGAAAGUAAGCAGUUCAAAUCAACAACUUGAUAUUUUUUGGAUUUAGAUCGAGUACAGAAUUUCCACUGGAGUUACAUGAACAGCUGAAGGGACUGUGGACUUCAAUAGAGACACUGAGCAUUCCCAUCAGUUACCUGUACCUGUAGUUACCUGUACAGCCAAGAAGUGGCAGACAAGACUUUGAGUUUCAAUAAGGACAUAAGUUCUGGCAUUUGCACUUUUAUUUGGCCUAAGACCUUCCACUGGAGUUACAGCUGAGAAAGUAGUAGAGAAAACUUAGGACUUAAAUAGAGACACUACGAAUUCCCAUCAAAUACCUGAACAGCUGGGAAGGCGUGGCUGAGAAGACUUUGGAUCCGUCUGG
Molecule: long non-coding RNA, 431 nt
Organism: Magallana angulata
Lineage: Eukaryota; Metazoa; Mollusca; Bivalvia; Ostreida; Ostreidae
Exons: 3
Source: RefSeq, a predicted model, not a curated record